Coffea arabica (coffee) is the source of this 475-nucleotide non-coding RNA. NCBI's taxonomy places the organism in Eukaryota, Viridiplantae, Streptophyta, Magnoliopsida, Gentianales, Rubiaceae. The record is from RefSeq and is a predicted model, not a curated record.
CCCACAUUCCACAGUCCCAACAGUGGAGAGAGAAAUGAUGAGAUGAGAUGAGAUGAGAUGAGACAGAUUAGAGAUACAGACACUGCCAUUACUGACGUCUACGGUUUCCUCUUCUUCCAACUAGCUCACAGCCAAAAAGCAACGAACACAACAAAGUGAAGCAUACCUCCGUUUCUCCCUUUUGUCCCCAUUCUCGCCUCCGUACUCAUCCUCAAAGUCUGUUUUGGGUAAUUGAGAUCAGCAGUCAAAGAAAUGGAUGGAAAUCAUCAAAUGGAGGUGCAUUACAUGAAUACUUUUGGCUAUCCUUAUAAUGCUUCAGACAGUUUUGUGGACUUUUUUGGAGGUCUUCCACAAGCCCCUUUACCUUAUGUUCACCCUCCUCCACCAAUGCCUCAUGAUCAUCAGGAAUCUGCAUAUUGGUCAAUGAAUAUGAAUUCUUACAGAUUUGGGUUAUCUGGCCCAGAAAAUGCCUCCC